CCUCCGGGAGGCAGCAGUCGAGAAUCAUUCACAAUGGGGGAAACCCUGAUGGUGCGAAGCCGCGUGGGGGAAUGAAGGUCUUCGGAUUGUAAACCCCUGUCACGUGGGAGCAAAUUAAAAAGAUAGUACCACAAGAGGAAGAGACGGCUAACUCUGGGCCAGCAGACGCGGUAAUACAGAGGUCUCAAGCGUUGUUCGGAACCACUGGGGGUAAAGCGUGGGGAGGCUGUUUUUUUAGUCGUGUGGGAAAGGGGCGGGCUCAAACCGCGGACGGCAGAUGAAACCGGGAGACUAGAGUAAGCGAGGAGAAGGCGGAAUUCUCGGUGUAGCAGUGAAAUGCGUAGAUAUCGAGAGGAACACUCGUGGCGAAGGCGGGUUCCUGGACAUUAACUGACGCUGAGGCACGAAGGCCAGGGGAGCGAAAGGGAUUAGAUACCCUAGUAGUC
This 446-nucleotide ribosomal RNA is filed under the name uncultured bacterium. Its description in RNAcentral is "partial 16S ribosomal RNA". It matches the Rfam family "Bacterial small subunit ribosomal RNA", at positions 338 to 795 of the family's 1533-position model. The record is from RNAcentral.